AGAGAAGGCUACCUCGAGCUAUCGUGGCGGUCGGUUGCACUUUGCUGGGAGCUUUUGCAGAUUUAGACACCGUGAGCGCUGUGAUGUUGAUCCGAGACAUCUAUGUCGCCCUCGCAGAGAGGAGGUUUCACAACGCUGGAAACAUCGUGGAUUAUUACUUAUAUGCAAAAAAAUACAGCGGGCACAUCGGUGACCAAGUAUGCGGAGGAGAAAUUAAAAUUACAUUGCCCAAUAUAUGGACUAAGUGUGUCAACGAAAACUUGGCUGGGUGCGUGAAAGGAGAUAGAGUCAGUGUAAG
Molecule: long non-coding RNA, 298 nt
Organism: Rhipicephalus sanguineus (brown dog tick)
Lineage: Eukaryota; Metazoa; Arthropoda; Arachnida; Ixodida; Ixodidae
Exons: 4
Source: RefSeq, a predicted model, not a curated record